This is a long non-coding RNA of Brachypodium distachyon (stiff brome), 1406 nucleotides long. RefSeq lists it as uncharacterized. The record is from RefSeq and is a predicted model, not a curated record. The transcript has 2 exons. NCBI's taxonomy places the organism in Eukaryota, Viridiplantae, Streptophyta, Magnoliopsida, Poales, Poaceae.
GGUGGCUCCAGCCUACAGGCGGCAGGUCAGUCGCAUCACAUCAAGAUUGUCCAUCACGUCGUCGCACUAUGAGUUAAGGACAGGUACAAGUCAAAGAGAAGAAGAGGUCUCGGCAAUUCAAGUAACGUGUACGUUAACUUUCAUUGAAUCUUGCUCUCCAAAUGAAUAACCACUCCUUCCAAUUAAACUACUAAACCAAUGGCCGAUCGCUAGCUACCUCCAUGCUUGAGUUACUUCAUCUUGUUCUUUGAGGCGAAGCGGAUGAAGGGGUAGAAGACGGCCCAGCCGAUCAGGUAGAGCACCAUCCACCAUUUUCUGUCCUCCAACAUGCUGAUGGCGAGGUUAUGGAGGGAUAGCAUCACCGUUGAGCGGCGCGUCCAUGGAGAAGACCCGGUCCCCGCAAAACUCAUUCAUGAGGAGGCCCUCGUGGGGUACUUCAUCAUGGAGAUGGUGUUCAUCCACUUCCAAUCCAGCGGGAUGAUGUUGCCAUUGACGAAGUAGCCGCAGAAGAGAAAGAAGAGGGCAGUGAAUACGAAUAUACGAUCACAGCACGUAUCUGGGUCGAGCCGGAGAGUUCAACAUUGUUUUUUUAUGUAUGUAUGUAAAGUGUAACAAUUCUGGCCUAGCCCAGUAGCAGCUCCCAUGAGCUCGUUGUCCCGCACGAGACCAGUCUGGAAGGCCGGCCAGACAAAAUGAGAUUUUCUCCAGCCAAAUUCAGGAGCAGGGACGAACAUUUGCUACUCCGAUCAAGGACUCGCUGCGGGAAGAUGGAUCAAAGAAGUUUCACGAAGCCAGACCGUUACCGAACACUGCCCUUACUAUAUGGAAUUGAGUUUUGGCAUAGAUCAGGUUUCCCUCUUCCACGACAUGUUUGGUUAAACAUACAGGUUCUUUGGAGGCGAUUGCUGCGUUGGCAGCCGCUGUGCUCGAAGAGGGAUAUCUUAAUCCGGGACAAAAUGCCUCCUGUUGCUGGAGAUCAAGGCGUCAGAAGCCCUCCGUCUUCAAUGGCCAAGAAGCGUCGAACUGUCAUGCCUGGCCUUGGCACUCCAUCUCUGGGCGAAGCAAAACCUGGACUGAAGCUCUUCUGAUCGUCAUCGCCUACACCCGUCGGUCUGCCGCAUGAGAUGCUGAAACCUGAACUGAAGCUCUUCUGAAGCUCUGUGUUUUUCAAUUUACCGUUUUCGCCUUAGUGCUAUGUUGCCGUUGACGGCCUGUAAUGGAGCUUACACUGAAAUACUGUUUCGUUUCAUUGAAAUGAAACCGGGCGAAUGGCUCUUUAUCUAAAAAAAGUUUCCCUCUUCCAAAAAAAGAUCAAGUUUCCCAAAAGGAUUAUGUCAACGGAAAAUUAGAAAGGGAGGCUAUCCACACCACGUCCGUGUGUCCAAUACUCCUUCGCCUAAGAAGGA